This 253-nucleotide ribosomal RNA is filed under the name uncultured bacterium. RNAcentral's name for it is "partial 16S ribosomal RNA". It matches the Rfam family "Bacterial small subunit ribosomal RNA", at positions 524 to 776 of the family's 1533-position model. The record is from RNAcentral.
UACAGAGGGGGCAAGCGUUGUUCGGAAUUACUGGGCGUAAAGGGCGCGUAGGCGGCCUGCUAAGUCGAACGUGAAAUCCCCGGGCUCAACCCGGGAACUGCGUCCGAUACUGGCAGGCUUGAAUCCGGGAGAGGGAUGCGGAAUUCCAGGUGUAGCGGUGAAAUGCGUAGAUAUCUGGAGGAACACCGGUGGCGAAGGCGGCAUCCUGGACCGGCAUUGACGCUGAGACGCGAAAGCGUGGGGAGCGAACAGG